Molecule: ribosomal RNA, 282 nt
Filed under: unidentified marine bacterioplankton
Lineage: Bacteria
Description: partial 16S ribosomal RNA
Rfam family: Bacterial small subunit ribosomal RNA
Source: RNAcentral
CGAAAGUCCUUCGGGAUGAGUCGAGUGGCGCACGGGUGAGUAACGCGUAAGUAAUCUAUCCCUGUAUCUGGAAUAACUAUGGGAAACUGUAGCUAAUACCGGGUACGUUUAUCUCUUUGCGAAUUGAUAAAGAAAGGUGGCCUCUUCUUGAAAGCUACUGUACGGGGAGGAGCUUGCGUACCAUUAGCUUGUUGGUGGGGUAAUGGCCUACCAAGGCAACGAUGGUUAGCGGGUCUGAGAGGAUGAUCCGCCACACUGGAACUGGAACACGGACCAGACUCC